Molecule: ribosomal RNA, 500 nt
Filed under: uncultured bacterium
Lineage: Bacteria
Description: partial 16S ribosomal RNA
Rfam family: Bacterial small subunit ribosomal RNA
Source: RNAcentral
AUUGAACGCUGGCGGAAUGCUUUACACAUGCAAGUCGAACGGCAGCACGGACUUCGGUCUGGUGGCGAGUGGCGAACGGGUGAGUAAUGUAUCGGAACGUGCCCAGUCGUGGGGGAUAACGUAGUGAAAAUUACGCUAAUACCGCAUACGAUCUAUGGAUGAAAGCGGGGGAUCGCAAGACCUCGCGCGAUUGGAGCGGCCGAUAUCAGAUUAGGUAGUUGGUGGGGUAAAGGCCCACCAAGCCAACGAUCUGUCGCUGGUCUGCGAGGACGAGCAGCCACACUCGAACUGAGACAAGGUCCAGACUCAUACGGGAGGCAGCAGUGGGGAAUUUUGGACCAUGGGCGAAAGCCUGAUCCAGCCAUUCCGCGUGCAGGAUGAAGGCCCUCGAGUUGUAAACUGCUUUUGUACAGAACGAAAAGGUUUCUACUAAUACUAGGAGCUCAUGACGGUACUGUAAGAAUAAGCACCGGCUAACUACGUGCCAGCCGCCGCGGUAA